AAGAGUCCUAAAGCAACCUGAGGAACAAUGCAAGAUACCCUGCAGGGUUAUCAGCCUCCUACAAGGGAGUCCCAGGCCCAUGACUCUUUCCAGAAAGAUUCUCCAUUCCUCAUUUUCCUCUAUGGCUACUAGUCAAUUUCUGAGGUUUGACUGAAUUAUCAAAUUCAAAUCUGCCCAGAUGUCAGUGUUAUCAUUUUCGUGUCUCCUGAUGGAAAUAUUCUUUGAUUGGUUACUAAGACCUCUAAACCAGCAGAGCCCAUAGUUGAGGAAAUGAGAAUGAAAAACUAUCUAAGUGGGUUAUUAGAUGUAAUAAUGAACGAUGUUAACACUCAUUUCUUUUCUUUUUUGAAACAGGGUCUUUCUCUGUCACCCAAGCUGGAGUGCAAUGGUGUAAUCAUAGCUCACUGCAGCCUCGACUCCUGGGCUCAACUCUCACUUCAGGCACGUACGUGUCUCACCCAAGGCAUCGAAAAUACCUGGGCAUGCUGGCUGUCAUCUGGAGGCAAUCAGAGAUGGUAAGAAUGCCCGGUAUAAAGAGAAUUGGCAACGGUAACUCCCUGUAGCAAGGUGGGUUCCCUGACAGAAGAGGAAAAGGAGGGAGAGCUGCAUUUGCUGGUCUAUUGCGCUUUGCUUAGAGAUCAACAGAGUGACAUCCUAGGGUCUGAGCCUCAACCCUCCAGGCCGCAAGCCUCCCACUUCCACUCCACCAACCUUGACUUGUGGAACAUGCAUCCUCCUGGGGAUAAACCUCUACCAAGAUGUUCUUGUAAGAGUGGCUGCAAGUGCCUGCAUCAGAACCUCAGGAAAGCUGAUAAAGUUGAAGAGUCCUUGCUUUCCUCACUUGGGAGGGGGUGCUGCUGCUGGCAUUUAAGAUGAUUCUGAUUCAUGCUACAGUCUGACAACCUACAAAGCUGCAUGGAAGAAAACUCUCUUCCACAUGGCCUGGAGAGACCUAAGCAUCCACGUGCUCACUGCUCUCAGUGCUCAGAGAAGAGAACACCUGGGAAAUUGUCUUUGAAUUAUAUAGAACAAGUUGUCCACUAAAUGAAUAACAUCUGGAAGCAUUCCAACCUGGUAAAGCCCCUUGAGUGUUGCCUAUGAUGUGGGUGCAUCUGAUUCCAGGUCAUAUGUGCAAUGCUCUGCUGCAGACACUUUAGCUUUCAGAUUUUGUGGAAUAUUGUUACAGGAACACAGGUCUAUGCAAUGAGGUCUUGUAGCUGCUUCCUAAGCUUUGCACAUCAAUCCAUCAGCUCUAACAUUCUGGACAAUAUUAUUGCUGGCUACAAUAGUACUAUUUAUAAUAGUUCAAAUGAAUCAGAUUGAUUUUCUCCUUGAACACUAGAAUAUUUACUCUGAAUCAUCAAGGGCAAAAGGUCAAUUCCCCUCAAAAAGAUCAUGCAACCCUCUCUAUCAGAGGAUAAACAAUUCUUCAAGUAUUGAGGAAAGAAAAAUGACUUUGGGCCAGGCAUGGUGGCUCACACCUAUAAUCCCAGCACUUUGGGAGGCCGAGGAGGGAGACCUCACUUGAGGUCAGGAGUUCGAGACCAGCCUCGGUAAUAUGGUGAAACCCCAUCUCUACUAAAAACACAAAAAUUAGCUGGGCAUGGUGGCAGGAGCCUGUAAUCCCAGCUAUUUGGGAGGCUGAGGCAGUAGAAUCACUUGAACCCGGGAGGUGGAGGUUGCAGUGAGCCACGAUUGCACUAUUGCACUCCAGCCUGGGUGACAGAGCGAGACUCCAUCUCAAAAAAAAAAAAGAAAAGAAAAAAAAAAGAAAAGUGACUUUGUCCAUUGGGUAGCCAAGCUUUCAUUUUGCUCAGUGACGGAGUCUAGUACUUAAGAUCCAUAUCAUAGCAACACAAAACUUCUAUUGAGGAUGUAGCUUUUCAUAUGCAUCAUUCCCUUCACUUCUCACAUUGGUGUCCACUGAGGCGUAGAGACACGGUACAGGAUACAAAUGGUGAUGCUGGAAAGUGAACCUAAGUCUGUCUGUACAAUCUACACACCUCACCACUGUGUGAUCAGCUAUAGGCUUAAUACUAGUGAGACAGGGAUGCUUACCUGUAUUUGUUCAUUAAUUUGUUCAAUAAAAAGGACUUUGUGUAAGGUUCUACAUGUGGUGCUUGGGACACAAAGUCAAGUAAUUUAUGAACCCUCCCUGCCCUUGCCAUUUCCAAUCUAAUGACAAACACAAAGAACUAAAGGGGCAA
RNAcentral lists this long non-coding RNA (2207 nucleotides) under Homo sapiens (human). RNAcentral describes it as "non-protein coding lnc-SUSD1-7:4". The record is from RNAcentral. Lineage: Eukaryota; Metazoa; Chordata; Mammalia; Primates; Hominidae.